Molecule: long non-coding RNA, 544 nt
Filed under: Junco hyemalis (dark-eyed junco)
Lineage: Eukaryota; Metazoa; Chordata; Aves; Passeriformes; Passerellidae
Description: lncRNA (ENSJHYG00000014086.1)
Source: RNAcentral
GAUAGCACCAGUCAUGCCUGCCUAUGCCAGUUGAAGAACUUACUGCUCCUCUUCUGAAUGCAACUAGACUGUAGAUCUUACCAGGUUGCAGGAAGGAUGUGUACUGUCAGCAACUCUCAGAAGGCUGAACAAACGAGUCCCACAGCAGCCCUGGGAAGGAUCUCUGCUGUACCUUUUGGGAGGGCAGAUUUUUUACUGGAGGCUAGCACGUUUUGGGGCUGUCUCUGAUCUCACACGGAGAGAAAGAAAAUGUGCAGUGAAAAGUUUACUGGAUCCAGAUGCUGAAACAGAAGACACCCAGAUGUAUCUGCAUGUGGAAAAGAAAGACUGAUAAUGACUGAACAAAUCUAUGAAACGAGUAGCCAGAAGAGAGGAUAAAAUGGUCCGAAAUGCAAAAUUCAUAAGGAAUAGCAAAAGGCAAGAUACAGAUACAGUGGAGAUACAGAUACAGCGGGAAGGAGCAAAAUUAGGUGAAAUUAAAUAACGUUAAAGCCAAAUAAGUUCUAUAUGUUAAUAAACAUAUAAAUAUACAGGUAAUUAUGCA